RNAcentral lists this non-coding RNA (21 nucleotides) under Caenorhabditis elegans. The record is from RNAcentral. Lineage: Eukaryota; Metazoa; Nematoda; Chromadorea; Rhabditida; Rhabditidae.
UGUGAACUUAGCUUUGCUCAU